UUGGGCCCCACCUUGGACAUACCAGUUUCCAUUUUCAAUGACAUCAGCCAGGACUGGCGGCUGCAGCAUUUUGUCGGCUGGAUGUGGUAUGAACGGGAGGUGACCCUGCUGAAGCGAUGGAUCCAGGACCUGCACAUAAGAGUGGUGCUGAGGAUUGGCAGUGCCCACUUCUAUGCCAUUGUGGUCAGUGUGGCGAGGAGCAGGCAGGGCAGGUGUGUGGGCACAGCUGCUGAACAGCAUGGGACCCUCAGAUUCCACCCACAGCCUGUCUCCUGGGGUGGGACAGUGGGGGGCCUUACCCUGCCCUGGGGGCUGUGCCCUGUGUAGGUGGAUAGGUGGCCUGAUCUACCCCACUGUAGACGGGGUGUCCUUUUUCCCGUCUGGCUGGCAGGCCCUUGAGCCCCAUGCUGCGGGUUAUGUGAGGGCGUGCCCAAUAGCAGAGCCCCUCCUCAUGCCCCGACCUGCCACCCCCUUCUCAUAUCUCCCUAUGUCUGCAGUGGGUGAUUGGCUAGAGCAUGAAAGGGGCUACCUCCCCUUCGAGGCUGACAGCAGCAGUCUAUUCCAGGUGGGGCCCCUGCCCUCCCCCCUCUGCGUCAUCAACUGUCACCAUCAACAACACGCUCGCCCCCCACCCUGCCACCAGGGACCAUCCGUACAUGACCGACAACUCCAAGUAUCCCAAGGGUUACUUUGUCCAGAACACAGACUUUGACUUCUUCAACUAUGCGGGACUACAGCGGUCUGUGCUUCUGUACACGACACCAACUACCUACAUCGAUGACAUCACCAUCACCACUGGUGUGGAGUGAGACAGAGGUGAGAGCUUCUGGUAGGAUCCUCCCUCAGCGGGGCUCAGGGUGGCUCUGUUUGUUCCCUAUUUGGAAAGCUCUCCCAGGAAAAAGGUUCUUCCAGCAUCUCUAAACCUUCACAGGUUCCCAUCCACCUAUGAAGCUAAAAUCCAGGCUGUCUGAGCGGGCACGGGCUCCCGAGAUCACUCAUGUGGUUGAUCUUGCUUGGAGAAGAGAGGUCUGGCCUAACGUCACAUAGCUCAGGGUGGCAGCCCUGUCCCUUCCCCACGGUGCUGCUCUCACUCUAGCUCCCAUUGCUACACAUCGUGCUCAAGGAACAGGCAGCUUCAGGGGGCCGGGUGCGGUGGCUCACGCCUGUCAUCCCAGCUCUUUGUAAAGGAGGACUUGGUAGGAGGAUCACUUCAGGCCAAGAGUUCAAGACCAGGCUGGGCAACAUAGCAAGACCAUCAGCACAAAAAAUUUAAAAAUUUGCCAGGCAGGGUGAUGCGUGCCGGUAGUCCCAGCUGCUGAGGCAGGAGAAUCAGUUGAGCCUGGGAGGUCAAGGGUGCAGUGAGCUGUGACCGCGUCACUGCAGUCUGGUCUGGGCAACAGAGGGAGACCCUGUCUUUUUUGUUUGUAUUUGUUUUUGAGCUGGAGUCUCACUCUGUAGGAGCCCAGACUGGAGGGCACUGGCGCACUCUUGGGCUCACUGCAACCUCCACCUCCCAAGUUCAAGUGAUUCUCCUCCCUCAGCCUCCCUAGUAGCAGGGAUUACAGGUACCUUCCACCAUGUCCAGCCAAUUUUUGUGGUUUUUGUUUAGUAGAGACGGGGUUUCACCAUGUAGGCCUGGGUUGGUCUUGAACUCCUGACCUCAGAUGACUCACCUGCCUCGGCCUCCCAAAGUGCAAGGAUUACAGGUGUGAGCUACCGUGCAUGACUGGGAUACCUUGUUUUUAAGAAAAAAAAAUAUAUUUAUUUAUUUAUUUAUUUUUAAUAUAUCUUUUUCCUUUUGUGAGAUGAGGCCUUACACUGUCAACCAGGCUGGAUGGCAGUGGUACAAUGAUUGACAGCUGUUGUGGGGCCGCAGUUGUCAGUUUCAAAGAAUUUAGGCUGGGUGUGGUGGCUAAUGCCUGUCAUCCCAGCACUUUGGGAGGCCACGGUGGGUGGAUCGCUUGAGCUCAAAGGUUAGAGACCAGCCUGGGCAACAUAGUCAGACCCUGUUUCAAAAAGAAUAAAUAAUUAAAAUAAAUAAAGAAUUUAAAUAAGAAUCACACAGCAAAGGUGAUGCAGCAUAGAGCAAUUUGUUGUAAAGGGAAAAAUAUUUUGCAAGUGAAGUGCAGAAUAGCCCGGGCACAGUGGCUCAUACCUGUAAUCCCAGCACUUUGGGAGGCUGAGGUGGGUGGAUGACCUCAGGCCAGGAGUUCUAGACCAGCCUGGCCAAUGUGGUGAAACCCCAUCUCAAACUGUCUCCAAAAAAAAAAAAAAAAGUACGCACCUGUAAUCCCAGCUACUAGGGAAGCUGAGGCAGGAGAAUUGUUUGAACCCAGGAGGCAGAGGUUGCAGUGAGCCAAGAUUGCCCCACUGCACUCCAGCCUGGGGAGCAGAGGGAGGCUCCCUCUCAAAAAAAAAAUAAUAAUAAUUAGCUGGGCGUGGUGGCAGGUGCCUGUAAUCCCAGCAACUCGGGAGACUGAGGCAGGAGAAUAGCUUGAACUUGGUGGUCGGAGGUUGCAGUGAGCUGAGAUGGAGUCACUGCACUCCAGCAAUCCUGAGGAGACUUAAGAACUAAACAUAGUAUGGUCCCCUGGAUGAGAUCUUGGAACAGGAAAAGGACAUUAUGGGAAAUAGUAAAGAAAUCUGAAUCAAGAUGAACCUUAGUUAAUAAUAAUGUAUCAGUAUUGGUUUACUGGGGCCGGGGAUGGUGGCUCACAUCCUAGCACUUUGGGAGGCUAAGGUGGGAAGAUCUUGAGGUCAGGAGUAUGAGACUAGCCUGGGCAACAUAGCGAGACUACAUCUCUCUAAAUUUUUUUUUUCUUUUAGUUAGUCAGCAUGGUGGUAUGCACUUACAGUCCCAGCUGCUAGGGAGGCUGAGGAGGGAGAAUUGCUUGAGCCCAAGAGUUUGAAGCUGCAGUGAGGUGUGACUGUGCCACUGUGCUCCAGCCUGGUCAACAGGGCAAGACCCGUUAUCUCCAAAACUUUUUUCAUUACAAAAAAAUUUUUUUUUGAGAUGGGAUUUCGCUCUUCUUGCCCAGGCUGGAGUGCAAUGGCGAGAUCUCGGCUCACUGCAACCUCUGCCUCCCAGGUUCAAGCAAUUCUUCCACCUCAGCCUCCCAAGUAGCUGGGAUUACAGGCAUGCGCCACCACGUGUGGCUGAUUUUUGUAUUUUUAGUAGAGACGGGGUUUCACCAUGUUGGCCAGACUGGUCUUGAACUCCUGACUUCAAGCAGUUCACCUGCCUUAGCCUCCCAAAGUGCUGGGACUACGGUUGUGAGCCACUGCAGCCGGACUAUUUUUUAAAUGCUUUUUAGAACCAAAGUCUUGUUAUGCUGCUCAGCCUAGAUUCUAACUCCUGUGCUCAAGCAAUUCUCCUGCCUCAACCUCCUGAGCAGCUGAGACUACAGCUUGUGGCACCACAAGCCAGAAAGUUUGUUUCUUUUUUUAGAAAAGAGAGGGCUUAGGACUUCUGGAGCACAGACUUCAAAUAGCAGCCGAGUCCACAAUUGUGCUCCCUUCCCUCUGGAUCUUCCUUCCUGAGUGCCUGUGAAAAGCAAGCUUUGGCCCUGCCUGGGUGGUGAUUGUCGUUCCUGACGGCCAGUCCUGCAAGCUCUGGACUUGCUUAGCCAACCCCACAAAUGCAGAAGCCAAGCUUUUACGAAUAUAUCUAUCUAUCUAGAUGUAUGUCUGUAUAUAGCUUUUUUGUUUGUUUGUUUGUUUGUUAGAGAUGGAGUCUAGCUUUGUCACCCAGGCUGGAGUGCAGUGGCGUGAUCUCGGCUCACUGCAACUGCUGCCUCCCGGGUUCAAGCAAUUCUCCUGCCUCAGCCUCCCGAUUUGCUGGAACUACAGGUAUGCACCACCAUGCCUGGUUAAUUUUUGUAUUUUUAUUAGAGACAGAGUUUCAUCAUGUUGGCCAGGCUGGUCUCAAACUCCUGACCUCAGGUGAUCUGCCUGCCUCGGCCUCUCAAAGUGCUGGGAUUACAGGUGUGAGCCACUGUGCCUGGCUAGAAGCCAUCCGUUUCUAUAUCUAUGCAGAUGUGUGUCACUAUAUGUUUAUGAAUAUCUGAAUGUGUGUAUCUUUCCUACUGGUUCUGCUUCUCUGGUUUGAACCCUAACACAACUAGUUUUUUUUUUUGUUUUUUGUUUUUUUUUGAGCUGGCAUCUUGCUCUGUCACCCAGGCUGGAGUGCAGCAGUUUGAUCUCUGUUCAUUGCAACCUCCACCUCCUGGGCACAAUAGUAUUUUAUAAUCUGUUAGGAAUUCAAAAGAUCAAACUACGUAUUUAAAUACAUUUCAAAUACAAACUUUGAAAAUCAUACUAUGAAACAUUAAGUAAGAUUCUACAUUAUUAGGCCAGGGACGGUGGUUUCGGCCUCUAAUCCAGCACUUUGGGAAGCCAAGGCGGGCAGAUUGCUUGAGCUCAGGAAUUUGACACCCCCCGGGCAACAUAGCAAGACCCUGUCUCCACAAAAAUAGAAAAAUUAGCUGGACAUGGUGGUGCAUGGCUGUGGUCCCAGCUGUUUGGGAGGCUGAGGUGGGAGGAUCACAUGAGCCCAGGAAUUUGAGGCUGCAUGGAAGCAUGAUUGAGCCAUUGCACUCCAUCCUGGGUGACAGAGUGAGACCCUGUCCCACCCCCCAAAAAAAGUUAAUAUCAUUAUAUAAUUGUACUCUAAAUUAUUAGCAAAAUGAAAGAAAAUUAAGUAUUAUUUAAAAAUAGGCAAGGUACAGUGGCUCAUGCCUAUAAUCCCAGCACUCUGGGAGGGCAAAGCAGGUGGAUCACUUGAGGUCAGGAAUUCGAUACCAGCCUGGCCAACAUGGUGAAACCCCAUUUCUACUAAAA
This is a long non-coding RNA of Cercocebus atys (sooty mangabey), 4839 nucleotides long. The record is from Ensembl. Lineage: Eukaryota; Metazoa; Chordata; Mammalia; Primates; Cercopithecidae.